GUGUCCUCUAUUCUGUACCAUUGGUCCACCCGCCUGUUUUGGUACCAGUACCAUGCUGUUUUUGUUACUAUUGCUCUGUAAUAUAGUUUGAAAUCUGGUAUCACUAUACCGCCUGAUUCUGAUCAACUCUUUGGAAUACUUACUCUAUGUUUUAUGGAAGGAAGUAUUUAGUUACUAAAUUACAUUGCUCUAAUUUUGGCUUUGGGCAUUAGCUUGCAAUUUAUGUAGGACUUCUACUAAUUGCUUGUUCUCUCCAAUUGCUGGCUAAGUAUUAGGAAUUAUUUCUUGUUAUUAGUUGCAUUGCUGCAAAUCAGACUCAGGACCUUGUAUAUACUAGACACAUCCUCUAUUACUGAGCUGCAUCUUUAGCCCUUUGAUUUAAGUAUUAUUGUUAACCUAUGUUAAGAUUCAGUAGUUCACAACUUUUCAACAGCAGAGCUAGGUACCUUAAAACUGGGAUGUUGUUUUCUGAGGGGCUGACCAAGACCUUGUGACAUGUUCAACAAAAUAACUGGUCUUGACUUACUAGAUACAUGUGGAAAGCACCAAACUAUGACAAUCAUAAGUGUUUCAGACUACUACAAAUGUACCCUGGAAAUAAAUACCAUUAUAAUUGAAACUGCUGCACAAUCUAUUGAGAAAUAUAAACAAACAAACAUGAGACAUUUAUAAGAUCUUAAAAACAGUUUAGACAUGUGACCUGGUUCUUCAAAUCCAGAUGAAUACAUAAGGCAGUAACACAUAAGAGGGUCAGUAGAUUACUUGCAAUAUAAAAUUAUCAGUACAAACUUUGCUUGCAAAAUAUAAGCAUACGAGUGAAUAAAUAUAAUUGUAAAAAAAUACUAAACAUUAUUUACUUACAAUUUAGCAAAACAGUUACUAGGAAAAAAUCAGUUUGUGAUGCAUACUACAUAGAAUUACAGACAAGUAUUUAAGAAAAGGAUGUUGGGGAAAGUAACAGCCUCCACAGUUUGUUCUUACUUGACUUUGCAAAAUGAAUGUAAGUAAAGAUGUAUUAAAAAUUAUAUCGCUUUGCUCUGAACUUCUACUGAAGCUGUCCUUCCUUCACUUCAUAGAGGAGUCUUCUGUAGCUGGGUGAGGUAAGUCACACUUGUAUUCCCAGCAACUCAAGUGACUGGGAUAAGAUGAUACCAAAUUUAAGGAUAGCCUCACCUAAUUAGGGAGAGUUUAUUACAAAAUACAAACUAAAAAGGACUGGGGAUAUAACUCAGGAGUAAACAUUCGAAGUUCGUUCCCCCCUGCCAGAAAACAAGACUAAACUUCCCUGAACUACUUAACUGAUCCAGCUCUUUCUAAAAACAAAGUGGUUCUUCAAAGAACAGGACUAUAAAAUCUAUGAUCUUACUGUCUGAGCCUCAAGUCAACCGGAUUACAUACAUGUACCACUGGGGUCCGCUGAUUAUUUUCUCAUUUCUUAAUAGCAUUACAGUAAUUUAAAGUUACUUAGGAGACCUUCCCAAAUAUCUUUAGAAUUGGAUGUUUCCCUAAUUUCUUUGGAAAUAGACUAGCAAUGUGGGAAGAUGAACAACAUCCAAGUGCAUGGGGGUAAGAGAACACAUGAGUGAACAAGUGAUCUUUCUCCAAGAUUGAAUUGAAGGUGCUGAGAGGAGUGGCAGGUGCCUUUAAUCCCAGUUGCUAAACAGGCUGAAGCAGGAGAAUUGCAAGUUCAAUGUCAGCAUAAGCAACUUAUGAAGACUGUGUCUCCAAACAAACAAACAAAAAAGAUGGAGGGUUGGAAAAUGUAGCUCAGUGGUCAGUGGUUGAGUGCAUCUGGGUUCAAACCCUCAUACAAAAACAAACAAACAAGCAAACAAAAAGCAAUAAUAAGUGAAGGAAAUAAUUAUCAUUGAUCUCUUUUCUACGUAAUAUUUUCCUCCAGUUUCAGUUCUCACUGAAUUUUCUUCCUCCCUUUCAAAAUGGUGCUUCCUUAGAUUUUUCCCUUAAGAAAAUGCUCAAUUUAAACUCCCAACCUAAACCAAAGGUAUCCUUGCAAAUUUCUGAGUUCUCAAUUGAAAGAUUUUGAGGCCUCAAAAACUUAUAUGCAAAAAGUAAGUGGCCUCAUUUUUUUUUUCUUUUUUACCCUUAACCGUUCAAAGGA
Molecule: long non-coding RNA, 2119 nt
Filed under: Marmota monax (woodchuck)
Lineage: Eukaryota; Metazoa; Chordata; Mammalia; Rodentia; Sciuridae
Source: RNAcentral